UAUAGUGCAAAUAGACCCAAAGAUGAUGUGU
This 31-nucleotide non-coding RNA is filed under the name Mus musculus (house mouse). The record is from RNAcentral. Lineage: Eukaryota; Metazoa; Chordata; Mammalia; Rodentia; Muridae.